GUGGGCAGGAUGGUGGCUUCACCUGAUGCAGUGCACACCUCCAACAGGCAUCAGAUGGAAUGCACUGGGAGCAAGAUUCUCAUAGCAAUGACAAAGAUCCACAACACUGUCCACCACGCAGCCGGGACUCGAUGUUGUGGGUCCAGUCGAGGCGGAGAGGAGCCAGGAAGACAGGACAGGCCAGCUCCUUGCCUGGUGGCUGAGGAUUUCUGGUCGUGAGCUUGGGGGACUUCGCAGGGCCGGAGGGGGAGGGUACCUUUCCUAACAGCGACACCCUGUGGUGUUGGCCGCUGCAGCAGACACUCAGGUGACUUGUCUGUCUGUCUCCUUGAGAUGCUGUGACCAGGGCUUGACCUUUGGACUGAGAGAGCAUCCGCUGGGCCGGGGGUCUUGGAGUUAUUUGGAAGGAGGACCCUGAGAUUUCUUUGAGAGAUGACCUAAUUGAAGAAGCAAGAGGACAUGACCUUGCUUCAUGCUCCAAGCAGCUGACCUUGGAAUCUGGUUAUAAAUGCGUCUGUGCCUUUCUUGGACAAAGCAGUUUUUGCUUCUGUGUGUGUGUGUCUGUCCACUGGCCCAGGGGAGUGUUCCAUCCUCAGGUCCCUGAAGCAUAUCCCAGCAGGGCAGGGUUGGUCCCAAAGGCCAUGUGGGCUGCGUGAUGACCAACUGGCCCUGUGCGCCUGUGGAGCGAGGGAGGAGAAAUGGCCAAGCUCAGCUGAGCACACCCGGCCUGAGGGCCCAGGUGUGCCCUGAGAGUCGAGGGCAGAUGUAGGGGGGAGUUGGGCCUUUUUAAUCAUAGAAGCAACUGCCCGCCUGCCACAGUCAAUGCUAAGCUCCUCAAACGUCUUGCAAGCUGCUUGCUCAGGCCUCCGACUCAGGAUUGAACUGCAUGUGGCAUGCUCCCGCUACAAAGAAGCCCACAUCCUGGCUGCUCCGGAACAUUCCUCAGCCUCGCUGGCAUUUGCCUCUGGACGCGUGGCCUUGAGCCUGACCCCUCGAGUUUAUCCCAGCGCUUGGUGACGAGACCCCACAUACUGCACAGGAGGACAGGCAGAGGGUCAGCCAGAGCCUGGGAUGUGGAAGCGCCACCUCCCUUUGCAGGCUGUGUGUCUUUGG
This is a long non-coding RNA of Gorilla gorilla gorilla (western lowland gorilla), 1113 nucleotides long. RefSeq lists it as uncharacterized. NCBI's taxonomy places the organism in Eukaryota, Metazoa, Chordata, Mammalia, Primates, Hominidae. The record is from RefSeq and is a predicted model, not a curated record. The transcript has 3 exons.